GAGAGGGACAGCAGCAGCGACAGGAGGAGGGAGCUCAAGCAGAGGGUGCGGGUCAUCGUGGCUGAGAGGAGGGGGCCUGCAGGAUGGUGGUCCCUCCCUGGCUGGUAAACCCGAACAGGAAGAGCAGACCCCCUAUUAGCGGGGCCAAAUCAGAGGGAUCUCCAAGGGCGACAGGGAGAGGAAAGAGCAAUGUAUUAAAAAAAUAACCAAAAGGAAAGGAGGGUGCUAAGUUUAAAAAUAUAACUAUCAUUGUUGUUUGCGACAUUUUUCUAUUAUAACUUGUGAUGCACUGGUGCAUAUCAGACUAAUUAAACUAGACUAGACAGGUGUUCCUGCCUGUGUGCCAAUACU
Long non-coding RNA from Etheostoma cragini (Arkansas darter), 351 nucleotides. RefSeq lists it as uncharacterized. The record is from RefSeq and is a predicted model, not a curated record. The transcript has 2 exons. NCBI's taxonomy places the organism in Eukaryota, Metazoa, Chordata, Actinopteri, Perciformes, Percidae.